RNAcentral lists this ribosomal RNA (327 nucleotides) under uncultured Bacillota bacterium. RNAcentral describes it as "bacterial SSU rRNA". It matches the Rfam family "Bacterial small subunit ribosomal RNA", at positions 28 to 351 of the family's 1533-position model. The record is from RNAcentral. Lineage: Bacteria; Bacillati; Bacillota.
GAUGAACGCUGGCGGCGUGCUUAACACAUGCAAGUCGAGCGAUGAAGUUUCCUUCGGGAAACGGAUUAGCGGCGGACGGGUGAGUAACACGUGGGUAACCUGCCUCAUAGAGUGGAAUAGCCUUCCGAAAGGAAGAUUAAUACCGCAUAACGUUGAAAGAUGGCAUCAUCAUUCAACCAAAGGAGCAAUCCGCUAUGAGAUGGACCCCGCGGCGCAUUAGCUAGUUGGUGGGGUAACGGCCUACCAAGGCGACGAUGCGUAGCCGACCUGAGAGGGUGAUCGGCCACAUUGGGACUGAGACACGGCCCAGACUCCUACGGGAGGCUG